GAUGAAGACGCAGUGAAAUGCGAUAAGUAAUGUGAAUUGCAGAAUUCAGUGAAUCAUCGAAUCUUUGAACGCACCUUGCACCCUUUGGCAUUCUGAAGGGUAUGCUCGUUUGAGUGUCAUUGUACUCUCACACUCCCGAUCUUUGCAUUGGGAGCAGUGGACUUGGGUUUGCUGCUUCACCGUCGCUUACCUCAAAUAGGUUAGUGCAACUCUUGGUUGGACAUAGUACGGCGUGAUAAGUGUUCUUCGCCGGUGCCUCGCAAAGAGGGUGGCCGAUCGGGAUGUUGUGCUCCAAACCGUCUUCGGACAAUCUCUGACGACUUGACCUCAAAUCGAGUAAGACUACCCGCUGAACUUAAGCAUAUCAAUAAGCGGAGGA
This 379-nucleotide unclassified non-coding RNA is filed under the name soil metagenome. RNAcentral's name for it is "partial contains 5.8S ribosomal RNA, internal transcribed spacer 2, and large subunit ribosomal RNA". The stretch from base 1 to 119 matches the Rfam family "5.8S ribosomal RNA", at positions 35 to 154 of the family's 154-position model. The record is from RNAcentral.